GCAUUGGUGGUUCAGUGGUAGAAUUCUAGCUUGCCAUGUUGGAGGCCCUGGGUUCGAUUCCCAGCCAAUGCA
Molecule: non-coding RNA, 72 nt
Organism: Ameiurus melas (black bullhead)
Lineage: Eukaryota; Metazoa; Chordata; Actinopteri; Siluriformes; Ictaluridae
Source: the annotation of a GenBank genome assembly